RNAcentral lists this long non-coding RNA (6999 nucleotides) under Marmota monax (woodchuck). The record is from RNAcentral. Lineage: Eukaryota; Metazoa; Chordata; Mammalia; Rodentia; Sciuridae.
AAUGUCUGUUAAUGUCUUUUGUGAGUGUUCUAAUUGGCUUGCUUUAUUUCUUUCUGAGUUUGUGAGUUCUUUGUAUAUUCUAGAUAUAAUAGAAUAUUAUCAGAUAUAUAAUUUGCAGAUAUUUUCUCCCAGUCUGUAUCUUGUCUUUUUCAUCCUCUUACAGUCUUUCACAGUAAAAAUAAGUUUUUUAAAAAAUAUUCUUUAGUCAUUGAUGGACCUUUAUUUUAUUUAUUUAUACGUGGUGCUGAGAAUCGAACUCAGUGACUCCUCACAUAUCCCAGUCAAGUGUGCUUACCACUGAGCCACAGCUCCAGCCCGAAAACAAGUUUUAAUAUAUCAAUUUAUUUUUUCAUGAACUGUGCUUUUGGUGCCAAUUUUAAUGGCUAAUGAUGUUGAUUCAGCUCUAAAUUCCAAAGAUUUUUUCCCCCUGUAUUUUCUUCUAAAAGUCCUAUAGUUUUGCAUUUUACAUUUAAGUCUCUAGUUCAUUCUGAAUAACUUUUUAUAGAAAGCCAGAGGCUUAGAUUGGGAUUUUUUUGUGUGUGUGGUUUUGCUUUGUUUUUCUCCAGUUGCUCCUGAACCAUUUGUUGAUUAGACUCUCCAUUCUCCACUGAAUUGCUUUUGUACUUUUGUGAAAAGAUGGUUGGGCCUAUUUGUGAGGCUCUUUUUUUGGGUUCUUUGUUUUGUUUCUGUGUGUCUAUUUCUCCACCAAUAUAUGCUGAAGUCUUUGCAUCACAAACAUGGUCUUGAUUACUGUAACUAAAGAGUAAGUAUAAAAAAUGGGUAAAGCAAUUAGUUCCCCUUUCUUCUUCUUUUUCAAAGCCUUAUGGCUAUUGUCGGACCUUUGCCUUUCCAUAGAGAAUAAACUUUUCUUCGACUUUUUUAAAAGAAAGACUUUUAACCAGUCUCUUAUUUUUGUCCCCAUAUUUUACACUUUCUAAGACUCUACUUCAUCCUACAGAUCUGAGCCUCUAAGAUUGUUUCUCUUUAGCAUUCUUUUGUAGUGCCAAUCUGUUGUUAAUACAUUCUAUUUUUAUUUGUCUAAACAUGCCUACACUUUGUCUUCAUUUUUGGAGCGUAUUUUUUACUGGAUGUAGAAUUCUAAGUUGACCAAUAUUUUCUUUUAGUGCUUUGAAAAACGCCAUUCUACUUCUGACAUCCAUAGUUUUUUGAUAGUCAGGCAUGGUGGCACACACCAAUAAUCCCAGCUGCACAAGAGGCUGAGGCAGGAGAAUGGCAAGUUCUAGUCCAGCCUGGGCAACUUAGCAAAACCUUAUCUCAAAGUGAAAAACAGAAAGGGCUGAGGAUGUAACUUAGUGCACACCUGCAUUCAAUCCACAGUGCUAAACAAACAGAGCAAUAAAUUUGUACCCUAGUGUAAUAUGUUCCCUUUCCCUUAAAAACCGCUUUAAGGAUUUUUCUCUUUAUUCUUUGGUUUUUGGAAGUUUGGCUAUGAUGAAUGUAGGUAUUUGGUCAGCUUUUUUGCUGCUGUGACCAAAAGACCUGAUAAUUUUUUUUUUUUUACUUUUACUUUUAACAGUAAACAUUUACUUUGGGGCUCACAGUUUCAGAAGUCUCAGUCCAUAGAAGGUCAACUCCAUUUCUGGAGGCUCGAGGCGAGGCAGAACAUCACGGUGGAAUAACAUUGCAGAGGAAAGCAGGUCAGGACAUAGCCACCAAGAAGCAGAGAGACGGAGAGACACACAGAGCUCCACUUUUCAGCGACAAAAUAUAAACCCCAAAAGCAUGCUUUUAAGGACCCAUCUCCUCCAGCCACAUCCUGCCCACAGUUACCAAGUUAAUCCUUAUCUGGAGAUUAAUGCACUGAUUAGGUUAAGACUCACAUAACCCAAUUAUUUUACCUCUUAACUUUUUUGCAUUGUAUCAUAUGUAAACUUUUGGGGGGCCACCUAAUAUCUAAACCAUAAGAGUAGAUAUUAUAUUCAUCUGCUUGGGAUACACUUAGGUUCUUGGAUCUGUAGAUAUAUUUCACCAAUUUUGGAACAAUUUCAUUCUUUAUUUCUAAAAACAUUUCUUACCCAUUCUGUAUUAUCCUUUUGGGACACACAUUCUCUCUCUAUUAGACUGUCUGAUAACGUCUCACAAGUUUCAGAUAGUCUUACUCUUUAAUUAUCAUCAUCAUUAUUAUUAUUAUUUACUUUAUGUGGUUUACUUUGUAUGUUAGGCAGCUCUUCAUAGCUGUGACCAAAAUACCUGACAAGAACAACGUAGAGGAGAAAAAUUUUAUUUUGGGCUCACAGUUUCAGAGAUCUCAGUCCAUGGUCAGCCAACUCCAUUGCUCUGGACCUGAGAGAAGACUGAAGAUCAGGGUGGAAGGACAUGGCAGAGGAAAGCUGCUAAGCCCUUGGCAGUCAGGAAGCAGAGCAAGUUCAAAGAGUUGGGGACAAAAUAUAUUAUCCCCAAGGCAUACCCAGUGACCCACUUCGUCCUGCCAUGCCUCACCUGCCUACUGUUAUCAUCCAGGAAUCCACUCAAAUUAUUAAUCCACCAGGUAGAUUAAUCUAUCAGGUGGAUUAAUACACUGAUUAGGCUAUAGCUUUCAUAAUCUAAUCAUUCCACCUCCUGCAUUAAUGUGUGAGCUUUUGUCGGGGAUGCCUCAUAUCCAAACCAUAACACUUUGGGUAUUUUGUAUUGAUUUAACUUUGAGUUUACUGAUCCUUUCUUCCUCUGUGCCCAGUUCUUAGUUAAUACCUUCAAUAAAUUCUUUAUUUCAGAUAUUAUGUUUUCAAUUCCAUGAAGGAUGGAUUCUUUAAGCAUUUCUCUUUCUCUUCUGGAAUUCCCCAUCUACUCAUCCAUUUUAUGUAUUUUCCUCUAAAUCUUUGAAUAUAUUUGUAAUAGUUAUUUUAUAAAAUUACUCUUCAGUAAUUUUGAUAUCUGAGUCUUUUGUGGGUGGGUUUAAUUUGCUGUUUUUCUUAUUGAUUAGGGACCACAUUUUCUAGUAUUUUUUUUCUGAAUGCUAGACAUUAUAGACGAUAUAUUGAGCAGCUCUAGACUAUGUUGACUUUAAGAUUAUUAAACUUUGGGCUGGCAGGCAGUUAAAUUAUUGGUGGGUAUUCUUGGUCUUGUAACUUCUUGGUUUUAGGUCAGGUUUUUUUAAUAUCUGACAAUUUUGGAAAAGUGGAUUAUAAUAAAUCUCGGUGGAAAGUUAUGAAGUAUGUCCUUAGAAUCAAUCUAGAAUCCUUUUCUAGAAUCUGUAGUACCUAAUAGUGCAUUAUGUGAGAAAUUGAAAAAUAGUGGAGACACAGGUUUAUGUGAAUCUAAUGGAUGAGGAUCUAUUCAAAUUCUAGCCCAAUUCCAAUAAUUUUAAUUGUCAUAAUUUUUCUGGAUAGAAGUCUUAAAAACGUUACCUGUUUGACAUAUCUCAUUAAUCACUCCAAGUGAUGUUACCAAUUGUUAAAUCUUUGCAUCACAAAUAAUUAGAUAAGCUUACAAAGAGAUUAUCUGCAAGGAUUUUUUUUUGGCAGUACUGUUUAUAAUACAAAGAGAUAGCCAGAGAGAAAAAUACCCAAAUGUCUUUUAUAGAUGAUUGAUUAAAUAAAUGUACCACAGGUUCUAUACAAUAGAAUGCUAUGCAAAUAAUUUAUUGACCAGCAUAGGAAAAUGUGUUCGUUAUAUAUUAACUGAAAAAAAUUUACCAAACAGUAUGAUCCAUUUUCCAUAAACAGAAGUGUUUAUGUAUGUAUGUAUGUUUGUGUGUGUGUGUAUAUUUAAAUGUUAUUAGAAGUAGGAAAUGGAUAAUUUUUAUUUUAUUUUUUGUUUGCAUUGGGGUUCUCAACACCACCCUCAGGUUUUUUUUAUAUCUUUGUUUAUUUUUCUGUGGUGCUGAGAAUCAAACCCAGUGCCUCACAUGUGCAAGGCAAGUGCUCUGCCACUGAGCCACAACCCCAGCCCCAUUUUCUUACAAUUUAUUAUAGCAAAAGGCUACAGGUUAAAAUCAACAGAGGGAAAAGUCACCUAGGAUGGAGUGCAGGAAAGCCUCUGGUUGUCCUUUCGUAGUGGAGUCACACGGACAGCAGCAUAUGACAGCACAUGGGAAUUGUUGCCAAACAGGGAGGUCACUGGGGCUUUGGUUUUCAGGGCUCAGUCACCUACACAUUCAGUGUCUGCAGGACUAACCUCAGCUACUCAGACUCCAGGUGAAACUGACAUAGUGUGGCCCAAAGUCUCAGGCAUACAAAGCCACUUUCAUUAGGCACUAUCUCCUGAAGGCUUAGAGGCCAUCUUCCGGGAGCUGGGCCCAGGGCCAGUUCUGGAGAUGGAGCAGGGUUUGAACAGCCCAAGCCUGAUGAGUUAACUCUUUACUGUACAAUGCUUUUCUUGUUUCUAGUGUUUUACAAUAACCAGUUAUUAUUUUUAUCACCACAAAUAGCAAACUACUUAUGUUCUGCAGAAGAUGAAAUGUAUCAGUAAUGUUUUUGUAAAUGUCCUUUUAAUAUUGUUAGGUGUUACCAAAUUAAAUCUCUGAAUGACAAGUUUCUGUGCUGCCAGAAGUGACAUCUCAAUAACUAACUAUAGGUGAAAUAUAUCAUUAUGAAGCAACUUUCUUGCCAGGAAUCCCCAGUACUUUACAAAUAGGCUCAUGAAUUCACACCAAAGAAGGCGAGGAGCCAACUCCCUUACUUCAUUCCUAAGAAGGGAAUCUCACUUCAUGGUGCCAAAUGAUCUGAAAGUCAGAAACAGAGAGAUAAGAAACUGACUGCCUGAAGUAUUUGUCGCCCCAGGCACUUGUGAUUCAAAUAACCUAAAACCAUUUAGCUCUGGUGACUAUGUUAUGAAUUAAGCAUGGAACAUUCCAGAAGUCUGACCUGUUUAGAGACUGUCAUUGCCCCACUGUUCAUUGUAGGCAGUUCCCACCAAGGACUCAGACAUCAGCAUAAGCACACACACUCUCUUACCCACAUUCAUCAUUGCCAUGUUGUCUCUCCUUGGCCGGCAAAAAUAAAAGUAGGAAUUGUUUCCUCUGUGCCAAGUCCAUUGCUAGAUGCUUAGAUAAUACUCCAUCAUCACAACGAUUUGGUAAGCUGUGUCAUAUCAUCCCCAUUAUAUAGAUAAGGAAAGUGAGUCUGGAACAUGCCUCAGUACAGUGACUCUGAGGUCUCUUCAUUACACUUGAUGAAGUAAAGACAAUAAAACUGAACUUUCAAAAUUCUCACAGUCCAGCAUUUGAAAAAUGUGUGUGAUAUUCAUUUCAACCUUAUUAUGCAAAAGGAAUAAAUGUGUUAACAUUUUAGGGUCAAAUCUUUUCCCCUCAACUAGAGAAAAUGGACAACAUCACCUAAAUAAAAUUUGUGAGAAAAAGAGAGAAAAUUGCUAGGAAAUAUUCAGCUCAGGGUUGACAAUGCUUCUAUAACAUUUUGAACUUAACUAUGAUUGUGAGUUAAGUUUCAGGGAGUGAUAAAUUCCGAACAAGUAGAUUGAAACUAAAUAAACAGUUGCUACAUCCUACUCACAGCAGUUAAUUAUAGCAAGAACCCAGCUUCCUAGGAAGUAUUGUGAUAAUAAAUUAUAAUUAGUGGUUUGAAGCAGAGAUGCUUUUUUUUCCCCUUUUAAAAAAAAUGAGUAGCAAAGAGCUUUGUUGGAACUGUACCAUUUGAGUUAGAAAAGAGCUGCUGUAUUAAAUUCGUUAUUCUUUUGGCAGCUGAGGAAAACUAUCUGUCAGUCAAGAUUGUGAGUCAAGAGCCUCCCAAAUUAUUCAAACAAGAGAGAAUGAACCUUGUUAAAUGUUCAGGUGUGGAGAGGCCCUUGGAGCCUUGGAAAAUAGUCUGCUUUGCUUAAUGCCGAAUGCUAAUUGAUGGAUUCUUGCUGAUUGCUGUUGGUUUUAAAGCUGUAUUCAGAACAGGCUUUCUCUGCCUUGGAAGAUGUGGCAAUUAAAAAGUGCUUUAAUAUAAGUGAGAAUGGGCUCAGGAGCAGCAUGAUGGCUCCACGAGGACAUCCAAUAUAACGACAGAUGUGGGGCUGCGGAAAGGGCUCAAGGUAGGUAAACAGCUCAAUGCACAGAUUUUUAAACAAAGGCUCAGAGCUCAACCUGUGAGUGCGUGACAGCAGAGAGCUUCCUCCACUCCAUUACUCCCGNUGUAUCAGCUUCUUCUAAUUAUUAAAAAAUAUUUUUUUAGUUGUAGUUGAACACGAUACCUUUAUUUUAUUUAUUUUUAUGUGGUGCUGAGGAUCAAACCCAGUGCUUCACACAUGUUGAGGCGAGCACUCUACUGCUGAGCCACAACCCCAGCCCUCAGCUUCUUGGGUAGAGAGAGCAAGAGCAAGAAAGCAAGACAGCAGAGAUAGGGAGAGAGAGGGAGGGAGGGAGAGGAGUCUUCGAGAAGAUAGCCCAUUCCAGGCCACGCCCCCAGCAAUCUACUUCCUCCAACGAGGGUCCACCUUUCAGGAGUCCUUUCAGCUAUCAAUGGGUUAAGACAUUUGAUGGAUUAAUCCACUGAUGAGGCAGUGCCCUUGUGACCCAAUCAUUGCCUAAAAGCCCCAUCUCUGAACCUUGCUGCCUUGGGUGCCUGGCCUUCAACCCACCAGCCUUUGGGGAGACAGUCUAAAUCCAGACCAUGACAGUCAAAAUCCAGACCAUGACAGUCAUUUUGCCCUUUCGAAAGCCUUUCUGAAUCACUUUAAGUGUGUCUUUUGCAUAAAACACAGCUGGGUCUUGCUCUGUAAGCCAAAUGGAAAAUCAUUUCCUAAUUGUUGAAAUUAAGUCUAUUUAUGUAUAUUACCAUGACGGCUGCAUUUUGUUUCAACCCUGUUAUAUUAUUUUGUUAUAAUUAUUAUGUGCAUUGGAUCAUAUUUUAUUGUGUUUGUCAAUAUUUGUCUUUUCACAUUAAAAUUUUAUUUUGGUUUGAAGAAAGUUUGAAUUUUUAUUCUAUUGGUUUUAUUUAUAUUUAUGUUUUUUAAAAUGUUUGUGGUUUCCUACAUUAAUGUUUAAUUUUAGCCACCUGGUUCAUGUGUGUUUAAUAUUACCCUUCGACUCCCACUUGCUGC